UACAAUCUUUAUUAACCCAUGUUAAAAAGAUAAAAGCUCCGGCGGUGUAAAAUGAGCGUGCGUCCUAUUAGCUAGUUGGUGAGGCAAUGGCUCACCAAGGCUACGAUGGGUAGGGGUUCUUAGUGGAAGAUCCCCCACACUGGCACUGAGAUACGGGCCAGACUCCUACGGGAGGCAGCAGUAGGGAAUAUUGGUCAAUGGGCGCAAGCCUGAACCAGCCAUGCCGCGUGCAGGAUGAAAGCUCUCUGAGUUGUAAACUGCUUUUGUACAGGAGCAAAACAAUCCCUGCGGGGAUUCUUGAGAGUACUGUAAGAAUAAGCACCGGCUAAUUCCGUGCCAGCAGCCGCGGUAAUACGGAAGGUGCAAGCGUUAUCCGGUUUUAUUGGGUUUAAAGGGUGCGUAGGCGGCUUAUUAAGUCAGUUGUGAAAUCCUAGUGCUUAACGCUAGAACUGCAAUUGAUACUAUUAGGCUUGAGUUAAGAAUAGGUAAGUAGAAUUUAUGGUGUAGUAGUGAAAUGCUUAGAUAUCAUAAGGAAUACCAAUAGCGUAGGCAGCUUACUGGUCUUUAACUGACGCUGAGGCACGAAAGCGUGGGGAGCAAACAGGAUUAGAUACCCUGGUAGUCCACGCCGUAAACGAUGAUCACUCGAUAUACAUAAACUUUAUGUGUGUCUAAGCGAAAGCGUUAAGUGAUCCACCUGGGGAGUAUACUCGCAAGGGUGAAACUCAAAGGAAUUGACGGGGGUCCGCACAAGCGGUGGAGUAUGUGGUUUAAUUCGAUAAUACGCGAGGAACCUUACCUGGGCUAGAAUGUAUUUUGCUACUUUGAA
This 829-nucleotide ribosomal RNA is filed under the name Encarsia pergandiella sexual line endosymbiont. RNAcentral describes it as "bacterial SSU rRNA". It matches the Rfam family "Bacterial small subunit ribosomal RNA", at positions 173 to 1005 of the family's 1533-position model. The record is from RNAcentral. Lineage: Bacteria; Pseudomonadati; Bacteroidota.